AUGUCAUGCAUUGGUAAGUUUUUGACUGGAUUUUGAUGAAGUUCUUUUUGGUGGUUUGUUUUACAGAAAAAAAAAAUAUGAUGAUGGUAUUAAAGAAUGCACAAAAGCAUUGGAGCUAAACCUUAACUACAUAAGUGUUUUGCUAAGAAGAGCAGAGGUGUAUGAAAAGUUGUAACAAUUUGAAGAGACUAUAGCAGAUAUGACAAAGGUUUUGGAAGUUGACCCAUCAUAUGAUCAAGCUAGAAGACAGAUUGUUCGCUUGAAGCCAUUAGCAGAUGAAAAACGUCAAAAGAUGAAGGAAGAAAUGAUUGUUGACCAUUGGUGGUAUGAACUUCUUUGGGUAGUUGCUGUUAAAUGAUUCUUUUUUGCUCUUCACGUGUAAAUAUAGGAAUGCUUCAUUUUUGCAAAAGAAAAUGUGUUCUAGGGGAGAAGAGUGGAGGAGGAGGAGAGGAUCUGGAAUUUUUGCAAAAGUAAAAGGAGCUAGUGUGAGCUGAGGUGGCUAGUGCAUUCGGAAGAUUCUGGAGGAAGGGGAAGGUUAAUGUGAGCAGAUAAAGCUUUGCUUCAGGUGCUGCUAAAGAAUAGAUGCUUGUGGAAGUGGACAAACGAUUACUGAGAUUAGCAAAAGGAUGGUUUAAGGGAAAUGUAAGCUGAGGGAAAUUGGAAAUUGCAAUUCUGGUCAAUUUGGAAUGAGCGCUGACAAUUUCAAAGCUGUGAAAGAUCCAAACACUGGUUCAUAUUCUAUUCCAUUUCAGUGCUAAUAUCUUUUACAAACUUCACAUAUAUUCUUUAGUUUCUGGAGCUAUGGAUCAAAUGGACUGAAAUCUUAAAGAGGAUGAAGCACGUUUCCUCACAGUGUUGAUCUCAGUCGUAUGAUUAUGUUUUUACAUAUAACUUGAGAAAAAGAAAUUGAUGUGGUUUUUUGCCAUAAUAUGUUAUAAACAGACUUAAAGUUUCACUUUACUGGAAGUUUCUUAUAGUUGCUUUAGUACUUUCCAUUUCUUCGUGGUGUUGUCCAUGGUUUUGAUACUGUUUUGGAGGGCAUCUGAAGGUGCAGCAUAAUUUAUGCUAUCAACGUCUUUGUCAUGAUCUGUUCGGAGAGUAGCAUAGAAAUGUAGAACCUUGCACGCAAACAGGGAGAGAGUCCACCUCCUCUUCCCACCCAUCCCAAAAAAGGGUAAAUUCUGACUAGAUAUCAUAUCAUAGCCACACUAAAAGUGUGUAAGCUCGGAUGAACACUGAAAUGGUCUGGUUACUCCGUAAUUUUCAUGAACUCUGGGGGUGUUUGUUGGUUGCAUGAUUUUUGGGCGGCUUGGGGACAUGUGGGCGCAGACAGCCUCAUUG
Coffea eugenioides is the source of this 1341-nucleotide long non-coding RNA. RefSeq lists it as uncharacterized. The record is from RefSeq and is a predicted model, not a curated record. The transcript has 3 exons. Lineage: Eukaryota; Viridiplantae; Streptophyta; Magnoliopsida; Gentianales; Rubiaceae.